RNAcentral lists this ribosomal RNA (253 nucleotides) under uncultured bacterium. RNAcentral describes it as "partial 16S ribosomal RNA". It matches the Rfam family "Bacterial small subunit ribosomal RNA", at positions 524 to 776 of the family's 1533-position model. The record is from RNAcentral.
UACGAAGGGGGCGAGCGUUGUUCGGAAUUACUGGGCGUAAAGGGCGCGUAGGCGGCGAUCCUAGUCAAGAUGUGAAAGUCCUGGGCUUAACCUGGGGACUGCAUUUGAUACUGGAUUGCUUGAAUUCGGGAGAGGAUAGCGGAUUCCCAGUGUAGAGGUGAAAUUCGUAGAUAUUGGGAAGAACACCGGUGGCGAAGGCGGCUAUCUGGACCGACAUUGACGCUGAGGCGCGAAAGCGUGGGGAGCAAACAGG